AGUCGAGCGGUAGCACAAGGGAGCUUGCUCCCUGGGUGACGAGCGGCGGACGGGUGAGUAAUGUCUGGGAAACUGCCUGAUGGAGGGGGAUAACUACUGGAAACGGUAGCUAAUACCGCAUAACGUCGCAAGACCAAAGAGGGGGACCUUCGGGCCUCUUGCCAUCAGAUGUGCCCAGAUGGGAUUAGCUAGUAGGUGGGGUAAUGGCUCACCUAGGCGACGAUCCCUAGCUGGUCUGAGAGGAUGACCAGCCACACUGGAACUGAGACACGGUCCAGACUCCUACGGGAGGCAGCAGUGGGGAAUAUUGCACAAUGGGCGCAAGCCUGAUGCAGCCAUGCCGCGUGUGUGAAGAAGGCCUUCGGGUUGUAAAGCACUUUCAGCGAGGAGGAAGGUGGUGAACUUAAUACGCUCAUCAAUUGACGUUACUCGCAGAAGAAGCACCGGCUAACUCCGUGCCAGCAGCCGCGGUAAUACGGAGGGUGCAAGCGUUAAUCGGAAUUACUGGGCGUAAAGCGCACGCAGGCGGUUUGUUAAGUCAGAUGUGAAAUCCCCGGGCUCAACCUGGGAACUGCAUUUGAAAACUGGCAAGCUAGAGUCUCGUAGAGGGGGGGUAGAAUUUCCAGGUGUAGCGGUGAAAUGCGUAGAGAUCUGGAGGAAUACCGGUGGGCGAAAGCGGCCCCCUGGA
RNAcentral lists this ribosomal RNA (688 nucleotides) under uncultured bacterium. Its description in RNAcentral is "bacterial SSU rRNA". It matches the Rfam family "Bacterial small subunit ribosomal RNA", at positions 60 to 733 of the family's 1533-position model. The record is from RNAcentral.